This 655-nucleotide long non-coding RNA is filed under the name Capsicum annuum. Its description in RNAcentral is "long non-coding RNA (CANN_LNC006852)". Lineage: Eukaryota; Viridiplantae; Streptophyta; Magnoliopsida; Solanales; Solanaceae. The record is from RNAcentral.
UUGAUAUAAGAAGCUGGAGCUUUCGACCCACUAGCUCCCCUAGCCAUCUCUAGGACCCAUUUCUGAUGGUCCUACUCAUCCGAUAUGCUAUCAAGUCUAGCUUUCAUCCUAUCUGCUUUAGCUUCUUGCUUUAUUCUCUUCUUUUCUCUUCUUUAUUCUAGUAAUACCCCAAACUUUUUUGAAGUCUAAUUUAGUCUCCAAAAUAUUUAGGGAUGACUUCCUAAAUGAUAAAUAUUGAAAUAAGAUAGAAUUUCCCCAAUUUAGACUUUCUUCAUGUGGGAAAUUGAAUUAGCUUUCCAAUGAUAUCAAUUUCAUCCAAAUCAGAUAUUGAUGUAAAAUGUUAUGAACAUUUUAUAGAAAACUAUAGGAACUGCCCAGAAGAGACAACCAGGACCGACGGACCAUCGAGCUAGCGACAGACCAUCACCAAGCCGCCGUGACUAAGGCAAUGAACCCAUCUUCUGGCCAAGUGCGGUGGUCAGGACCGAUGGACCAUUACCCAAACCAUCGCAGAAGAGGAAAAAAGUUUAGGUUCUGGCCAAGUACGACGGGAUGGACCAAUGGCCCAUCGAACCAGCAAUGGACCAUCGCCUAAACCGUCACCAGUUUCAAUUAGCGAUUUUAAGCCAUUUUUAAAACUGUAUUUAGGUUUUUG